This is a long non-coding RNA of Nycticebus coucang (slow loris), 4590 nucleotides long. RefSeq lists it as uncharacterized. The transcript is spliced from 6 exons. The record is from RefSeq and is a predicted model, not a curated record. NCBI's taxonomy places the organism in Eukaryota, Metazoa, Chordata, Mammalia, Primates, Lorisidae.
CCAAGCUGUAUUUCCACAACUGAGGGCUGCUCAGUCUGGAAACUGGGACCAAGGCUGGCUCCACCACAAAGUGCUUCCAGGGACCAGGGUUGGCCCCGCCACACAGAAGCCCUCUGGCCAUGCUGGAGAGUGAUGUCAUGGCCAACAGCCUCCAGCUGUCCCUGGGCCCCUCCGAGUGUUGUUUAAUGAAUGUAGUAGCCACAAGGAAAAAGUGAUCCAUGUCCGAAGAUCUACAAGCCACUCCAAUUGUGCUACCAGAGAGAGACUCUGAGAAGAUGCAGGACCUAAGAGCACUACUCAUAAGGCAAUUGCAGCCAACUACCUGGAGGCAUGUGGACACAAUCCAGGCCAGUGCUUUGGAUUUGGUACUCCAGGUUGUUCAUCCUAGUUUAUUAAUGAAGCCGUGUGAUCUGCUGCACAGCUCCGGCUUGAAGGAGGGUAGCCACCAAAUUCCAGGGCUGGAGACCAACUAACAUGGCCUCUGGGAUAAUGCGAAUAUGUCAAGCAACAAGGAAUAUGGCAUUUAAAGCACAAGGAUUCCUCUAUUCAGGACGAAGCUCUGCCCUUUCCUCAUGCCCCUUUCCUGGCUUGUUCAGAUGAGUGUCUGCAAUUUCUUGACCUACCAAUUAGUUCCUGAAUGAGCAGGUCGGAAAACCACCCCAUGUCACAUCCAUGGCUAAUACCCCACUUGUGGGACCUUGACCCCAGCCAGCCUCUUCACGGCACUCUGUGUGAUGAACAGUUCCAUGCCAGGCUAAUUGCAGUUUGUGUGUUAAUCCCCACUCGGGCUUUCUCUGUUGACUCUGGUGCCAUCUCAGACGCUGAUUAUCUGUGGCCUGUGUGCGUGAACGUGCACACGUGUGCUCCCGCGUGCAGGCAUGCUGAGCCUCUCUGGGUAGGAGCCACUCUGACCUGCAAGAACAGCUGUGAGUGUGACCCUCAUCUCUACAUCUAUCUGUACCAUCGGCUUACUUCCCGUGAUUUAGUCUACACCUGUGAUUCUGUCUAUAUAAUGUGUAAUAAAAUGGUAAGGAAAAUAAACAUGCUCCAACUGAUUGCUUUGCCUUAUAAAGGCAAAAAACUAAGCCAAUUGCUUGAGUCUCAUUUACAUAAAAAUUAAAUUUGACCUAAUUGUUCUGUUUGUGUAAACAGUUGGUAAUGAUGACUCAGCCUGGUCAUCCGUAUUGGUGCUGGUGGAUUUCGUCUGAAGCUGCCCCCAGCGAGGCCCUCACCUGUCACUGUGCUUCCUACAGCCUCACGGCGAGCUGUUUCCUGAGUGGAACGAGUUCAAUAAUGUGGGUGAAAAAGGUGAGACGUGUUGGGGUUUUAUGAAGUGUUCUCCUAUGUUUGAUUUACAUUUCUGCAUUUUUAACUCUUAAUCUAGAAAGGUAUCUAUUCAUAUUUUAAAUUACUUAUUCAGUUUAAAACAGUUUGUUGAGAAUCUCAUCUGAACAAUAACCCUCAAAGCUUCAUUCAUUCAUUCAACAAAUAGUUGAGAGAGCUCUGUCUGGAGAGCUUUCUGAACCUCUUUAGAAAAAAAAAAAAAAGUGUCCUUCCCAGCCCUUGAAGAGUGCUACUGCCCGUCAGACAGCAAACCCAGCACACAUGUGUGCUGAGGCUUCAGUGCGGCACGUUCUCCAGCUAAAUGACACCCACUCACCAGCCUCAGAGAGGGGAGGAUGCCGAUUUUAGCUUCCAGAAUUGACGAGUGUCUGCUGGCCUUGCUAACAGUGAAACUGAAUUGAAGACCAUGAAUGUCCCUGCUGCUAGCAGGAGCAUGCUGCUCAGUGUCCUGGGAGCUGCAGCCUCCUCCCCCACCCUGUGUUUCCCCUGCUGAAUAGAGAGGCCCCCUGUGUGCGGGGGCUAUGGGCACCAGGGGUCCGUGGCGAGUGAGAAAAGUCCCUUCCACCUGGUCUGCAAGGCAGAGGAGCAACAGCAGGAUGAAACUCUGUGAUGAAAAUUUAGUUUAGGGGCCUACUUUAGCUUGGAGGGUCAAAGAAGAUCCCUCUCUAGAUGUGACUUUGAAGCUAAAAUCAAAUGAGGAUGAAGAACCAGCUUUGCAGAAACAUAAGCAAGAGCACCCAGUGAGUAAAGAACGGAGGAUGGAGCGUAAGAGGCCCCUGGCUCCCCGGGGCCAGCAGACGAGACAGCAGAGACUUGGGAAAGCAUUUGUGUUUUUUAAAUGAUGAUAGAAAGUCAGUGGAGGGUUUUAAGUGGGAGACUAGUAUGGCUAGUUUAAGGUGCUAAAAGUUCCUUCUAGAGGAGAGAGUGCAUACUGGGGGGGCAAGGAAAAGCAGGAAGAGCCUUCAGAAGAUCCAGCUACAUUUGCAGUUGAAAUUUCCUACUGACCCUCUACUGAGCUCUUAGCUAACGACAUCCUCUGCUUGCUUACACAAAGUCCCCACCGACCCUCAGCCCGUGGUGUGGUCGGUCAGUCCAAAAAGCUGUGACCACCUCGCGGGGCCCAGGAGAAGGCACGUGCCAGUUGCAGAGGAGGGGCAGGCUCGGUGUCUGUCAUGCAGGGCGCGCCGUGUCCGCAGCAGCAAGCUGGAAGACACGGGGUGAAGCCUUCCUACCGCGGAAAGGAACCCGCUCUCUGUGAAGCAGAGGACUUUGCUCCUAAGAUGCCAGCACAGCUGUAAAUGACAGCAAAAACAUUGCAGUGACUUUCUCUUAGCCAGGAAAGUCAACCCAAAGUCAUCAUAGCAAGAAAUUGCUUUAUGCUGAGAGCAGUAUACAGUGACGGUUGGAGUGUUUAUGACCCCAGCCCUCUUCAGAAGCUUCGCCGAACCUUCAGAAUUCGUGGAGACAGAUGCAGGUUUGAGUGUGACGGUGAACUUGUAUUGUUUCCUGUAGACUCAGCAUCCAGCCCACCCUGCCUCUCUCUGGGGGCUGCUCUCCUGGGAACACCACCCCCAGCCCCCACCCUCUGAGUAAAGCAAUGGUCUGAACAGUGAAUGUGAGACCCAGCGGGGCCCGGCCCAGGCCCUGUGGCAGCUGAUGGGCAGGAGAACCUGUCUCUCGGCUGAACUCUGAGGCUGCACAUUCAAGGCUGUUCUUGGCCAGCUCUCCUGCCAUGUGGAGUCUGUCUGUCUACAGAACAAAGUCAAAUGGACACAGAAGAAGAAAUGGAAAACAGAUGUGACGAGACAGAGAGAGAAAGAAAGGGGGAGAGAGAGGAAUCCUGGAGGCCCAGACUCCCUUGUUCUGGUCCUGGGGUCCCUGCUUGCUACAGUUUUUUCAAUCUGUAAACUAAUCCUGUCUUCCUUCUCUGCCAGGAGAACUAAUAAAUCCAUAUUUUGCAUAAGUCAUUUGACAUGGGUGUCAGUCACCUGAAAUGAGAAUAGCUCUCACUAAUGGCAAUUGUUAUUCAUGUUUUGUGAAAGCUUGGAUCUUUCUGUGUUUCGGAGAUGCCAAGCACUGGGCCAGUCCCACCUCCCCAUCAUUGGUUCAUCUGGAUAAGAGAAAUUCAGUACGCUGGCUUCCUCCAACUCAGAAAACUGCCUUCAAACACCACCCUUGACUCCUCUAAAGUCAUUUUGCUCGUUGCACCUGUACUAAACAUCAGUCAGAAUCAGGGUGGGUGACUCGAGCUGAUCAGAACAGGGCCGCGUCCUGGGCAAGCUCUGCCUUCUGCCUUAUCUCCCAGCACAAUUCUCUGUGACUCCUAGGCAGCCCCUGCCUUUCUGAACCACGCUGACCGGCUUAUUUCUCCAGAUGUUUUGUGAUCUCAUCUCUUAUUAAUGUCUCGAGGACUUUGCCACAUGGGGUCAGACAGACUGUCUCCCGCUUGCUGCUUGUCAUCUGCUCCCUUUCUUAAAGACCGGACUUCGCGAUUCUUCAAUCUGUCAGGGUCUUUCCUUUCAAGAGCAAUCCUCUAAAAAAAUUCAUUAUUGAAUGAAUAAUCACCUUAUGAAUGAUUACAUACUGUUUAACUAAUAUUUAACUUUAACUAGUCCUGUGACACCUUGCUUGUUUUUGGCCUUUCUGUUAUAAUACUCAGACCCACCUUUUGUUCACUUUGGUCCGAGCGCAGUUCUCAAUCUGGCAGUUCUCCUGCUGCUGGAGUCCUGGAUGAACCAGCCACACACACAAAGUGACACCCUUUGGGCAGCCUUUUCCCCCCACAGAGCUGAGCUUCCUUUUGUGACCUGUUGCAGUCCAGACAGAAAACCAGGGAAGCACAGUGCACAUGCAUGGACACACACACACACAGCAAGUGCAUUUGCAGUCGGGCGCUCAGUGGUGGCUGGAAUUCCAAUCUGGGGUCUUUCUCCUCUUUUAACGUGGCUGUGUUCCGUCAACCCUCCAAUACACCACUGGGGAAAUGUGCUUCUUUGUCUGAACACCUUCUACCUGGAAGUGCAGUCUGGAGAGUAACUGUGGUUUCUCUUGACGCAUGAAGACACGGCCUUGAUGACAUGGUGCCUCAGUCUCCCCACUCGACACCCAAAUGCAAGCCUGGAACUCUUCAACUGGUUAUCUACUUCCUACCAAAAUGUGUGCACUUUAAAUGAAUAUUUUGCCUUAAAAGAAUCAUCUCUGCCAAGGGGAAAUGAGACUCACAGUGAAAGCAACCUCCACACUCAG